Zalophus californianus (California sea lion) is the source of this 634-nucleotide long non-coding RNA. RefSeq lists it as uncharacterized. NCBI's taxonomy places the organism in Eukaryota, Metazoa, Chordata, Mammalia, Carnivora, Otariidae. The transcript is spliced from 3 exons. The record is from RefSeq and is a predicted model, not a curated record.
UGAAGGAACCCUAUUCAAGGCAUUCCUAUUACUAACACAAACAAAAGCCAGGAGGACCCAACUUAAUUCAGCUCACUCUUGCUAAAUCCAGAAAUUCACAGCUUGGCUCAUGUCACUGAUCUAGUUUUAUUACUUAAUUUGGUUUCUGUAGAAUUUUCCUAAAUUGGCCAAGUACCAGUUAAUUGAGAAAAUAAAUGCUAAGACAUAUGUAAAAAUCCAUUACCUGAUGAAAUGGGAUUCAGUGUCAGGAAAGGGGUCAUAGAAGAGAAGAAAUAGAGAAUGAAGUACCUUUCACCCACGACAAAGCAGUCAUAUGGCUAUUGAUGCAAGUUGUUAAGAGGCAGGCAAUUUUCUAUGAUGUUCAUUACAGCAGUUCUCAAACAAUGUUUUCUCUCACCUCAAUGCUUAGUGUACAAGAAGUGUAAUACUCAAAAUAUUUAAUGAAGAAAGGAGUUCUGAUACUCAAUUUGACACUAUGGUGUUAUCCAAGUGUGGGCCAGGGGCCAGUGGGGGAUCUGAGACCUUUCAGGGGAUCCAUCAGGAAAACUGUUUUCACAAUACCAAGAAGACAUUUGCCUGUUACUCUCAUUUUCUUAUGCGUGUACAGUGGAAUUUCCCAGAGGCUAAAUGACAU